Molecule: non-coding RNA, 28 nt
Filed under: Homo sapiens (human)
Lineage: Eukaryota; Metazoa; Chordata; Mammalia; Primates; Hominidae
Source: RNAcentral
UCAGAAGAUGGAGAAACAGGAAGACCCA